CGGCCCGCGCUAUAUAAGGUUGGGCGGGGCAGGUGCGGCUGGUUGUGUGUGAGGGGUGAGGGUGCGGCCCCGCUGCUGCCCGGGCUGCGGAGGUGAGAGCGCCUUGUCCGCUGUCCUCGCUCGUGGUUUCUCCUGGUGCUGGUGGAGUGGAGGUGAGUUGUGCUUCCUGCUGGGAGAGAGAAGGGCCUGGGGAAGCUGCUCCAUGAACCACAGCUGUGCCGAGCCUGGGAGUCUGUCCAGCAGGAUGUUGAGUGCCACCGUGUCCCUGAGGUCACCCUUUCUGCUGUUGGGAGAGCACGAGGUGGAUGGAGAGGAUCUCCAGGCAUCUGCAGGCACAAGGGACUCGUACAACUGUGAUUUUCCUACAGCCCUCAUAAGGUGGACUUUCAGGAUACCAUGGGUAAUGUGCCAGCUCUCCUGCUGGAGUUUUUGUCUUGUGCUAUAUUUGAACAUAAAGAGUAAAACUAAAGUCAGGUCUGUUCUGGAGUAUGUUA
Molecule: long non-coding RNA, 494 nt
Organism: Neopelma chrysocephalum (saffron-crested tyrant-manakin)
Lineage: Eukaryota; Metazoa; Chordata; Aves; Passeriformes; Pipridae
Exons: 3
Source: RefSeq, a predicted model, not a curated record